UCCCCUGUGGCUCAGAUGGCUAGAGCGAGCGUUGCACUCUUAAUGCGUAGGUUGGAAGUUCGAGCCUUCCUGGGCGAG
Molecule: transfer RNA, 78 nt
Organism: Cordyceps militaris CM01
Lineage: Eukaryota; Fungi; Ascomycota; Sordariomycetes; Hypocreales; Cordycipitaceae
Rfam family: tRNA
About the family: Transfer RNA (tRNA) molecules are approximately 80 nucleotides in length. Their secondary structure includes four short double-helical elements and three loops (D, anti-codon, and T loops).
Source: Rfam